GGUUAAGUUAGAAAGGGCGCACGGUGGAUGCCUUGGCACUAGGAGCCGAAGAAGGACGGGACUAACACCGAUAUGCUUUGGGGAGCUGUACGUAAGCGUUGAUCCAGAGAUUUCCGAAUGGGGGAACCCACUAUCUUUAGUCGGAUAGUAUCCUUACGUGAAUACAUAGCGUAAGGAAGGCAGACCCAGGGAACUGAAACAUCUAAGUACCUGGAGGAAGAGAAAGAAAAAUCGAUUUCCUGAGUAGCGGCGAGCGAAACGGAAAGAGCCCAAACCAAGAAGCUUGCUUCUUGGGGUUGUAGGACACUCUAUACGGAGUUACAAAAGAAAGUUAUAAAUGAAGCGGUCUGGAAAGGCCCGCCAAAGACGGUAACAGCCCGGUAGUUGAAAUGGCUUUCCCUCCAGAGUGGAUCCUGAGUACGGCGGAACACGUGAAAUUCCGUCGGAAUCCGGGAGGACCAUCUCCCAAGGCUAAAUACUCCCUAGUGACCGAUAGUGAACCAGUACCGUGAGGGAAAGGUGAAAAGCACCCCGGAAGGGGAGUGAAACAGUUCCUGAAACCGUGUGCCUACAAGUAGUUAGAGCCCGUUAAUGGGUGAUAGCGUGCCUUUUGUAGAAUGAACCGGCGAGUUACGAUUUGUUGCAAGGUUAAGCGGAAAAAGCGGAGCCGUAGCGAAAGCGAGUCUGAAUAGGGCGCAUAAGUAACAGGUCGUAGACCCGAAACCAGGUGAUCUACCCAUGUCCAGGAUGAAGGUAAGGUA
Molecule: ribosomal RNA, 761 nt
Filed under: Listeria monocytogenes
Lineage: Bacteria; Bacillati; Bacillota; Bacilli; Caryophanales; Listeriaceae
Description: partial 23S ribosomal RNA
Rfam family: Bacterial large subunit ribosomal RNA
Source: RNAcentral